This 599-nucleotide ribosomal RNA is filed under the name Salmonella enterica subsp. enterica serovar Infantis. Its description in RNAcentral is "partial 23S ribosomal RNA". It matches the Rfam family "Bacterial large subunit ribosomal RNA", at positions 2204 to 2802 of the family's 2925-position model. The record is from RNAcentral. RNAcentral also lists the same sequence under 1 other name. Lineage: Bacteria; Pseudomonadati; Pseudomonadota; Gammaproteobacteria; Enterobacterales; Enterobacteriaceae.
CCUUUAAUGUUUGAUGUUCUAACGUGGAUCCGUAAUCCGGGUUGCGGACAGUGUCUGGUGGGUAGUUUGACUGGGGCGGUCUCCUCCUAAAGAGUAACGGAGGAGCACGAAGGUUGGCUAAUCCUGGUCGGACAUCAGGAGGUUAGUGCAAUGGCAUAAGCCAGCUUGACUGCGAGCGUGACGGCGCGAGCAGGUGCGAAAGCAGGUCAUAGUGAUCCGGUGGUUCUGAAUGGAAGGGCCAUCGCUCAACGGAUAAAAGGUACUCCGGGGAUAACAGGCUGAUACCGCCCAAGAGUUCAUAUCGACGGCGGUGUUUGGCACCUCGAUGUCGGCUCAUCACAUCCUGGGGCUGAAGUAGGUCCCAAGGGUAUGGCUGUUCGCCAUUUAAAGUGGUACGCGAGCUGGGUUUAGAACGUCGUGAGACAGUUCGGUCCCUAUCUGCCGUGGGCGCUGGAGAACUGAGGGGGGCUGCUCCUAGUACGAGAGGACCGGAGUGGACGCAUCACUGGUGUUCGGGUUGUCAUGCCAAUGGCACUGCCCGGUAGCUAAAUGCGGAAGAGAUAAGUGCUGAAAGCAUCUAAGCACGAAACUUGCCCCGA